CGGGGAAUGGAAGACUUUGCAUGGGGAAAUGGGUAGUUUUACCGCUGGAAAGCUUGCAUAUGUGAUGACUCUGGUUUGGACAGCUAUAGCUUGGCAGAUAUGCUCAGUUGGGGUUGUUGGUUUGGUUUUCGUGGUGUCCUCAUUGUUCUCUAAUGUCAUUAGUACACUUUCCUUGGCGAUCACCCCUAUUGCUUCAGUGAUAAUCCUCCAUGACACGUUGAACGGUGUGAAGGUAAUUGCCAUGCUGAUGGCGAUUUGGGGAUUCUGUACUUACAUAUACCAGAAUUACGUCGAUGAUCUUAAGGCAAGCAAAGCACCAAGUGCAGUUGAUGAUAGUCCAAACGAGUCAAGAUCUUGCUGAAGGCUUUGUUGACUGGUAAUUAUAUAGACACUAUAGUUCUG
RNAcentral lists this unclassified non-coding RNA (402 nucleotides) under Hevea brasiliensis (rubber tree). The record is from RNAcentral. Lineage: Eukaryota; Viridiplantae; Streptophyta; Magnoliopsida; Malpighiales; Euphorbiaceae.